Malaya genurostris is the source of this 626-nucleotide long non-coding RNA. RefSeq lists it as uncharacterized. The transcript is spliced from 2 exons. Lineage: Eukaryota; Metazoa; Arthropoda; Insecta; Diptera; Culicidae. The record is from RefSeq and is a predicted model, not a curated record.
AGAUAUUUUAUUUUCAAUGUGGUACGGAUCGGGUUCAUGUUCAAGAAAUUGCAUACUCGAUCAUCUCUAGCCAAGUGGCAUAGCAGUUCCAAGACGAAGUACGAAGAAUUGUUCAUGUAAAUUUGAGAUAAGUUUUCAAUAGUGAUCAAGUGCCGACAAUUUUCAAAAAUUCAGUUCUUUUCCAAUUCAAUCAACACUAGUUGGAGUCAUAAUUCCAGCUCUGAAUGAUGAAGUAAACACUAUAUUAAAAAAAAAACAUUUUCUGUUGUGUAUGUUUUUUAUCCGAAGGCGAGAAGUGCUCUAACAGAAAGCGUUGUGCGCGGCUGUGGAAGAUCUAGGCCAGUCCUACAAGGCGGAUCGUGAAACAGCUGGGAAUCGAAAAUAUGACCGUAUCCCGUCAGGAAAAAAUGAAGAAAUGCAACCUUGUAAACAAUGUGGCCGAAGGAGGUAAAUCCAUCAAAUUCACGAGAAGAAGCUACGGAAAUUAGUGAGGCUUUCAAAACCAACAGGGAUUUGAAAAAAAAAAGAGUGGAAGAAACCAAAAUUGUGAAACCAUAGCUAACAUGAGUAUGUUUAUUCCAUGAGAGUUUCAAAACUAUCCAACAUAAAAUCGUUUUUGGUGAUCA